CAGCAGCCACGGUAAUACGAAGGGUGCAAGCGUUACUCGGAAUUACUGGGCGUAAAGCGUGCGUAGGUGGUGGUUUAAGUCCGUUGUGAAAGCCCUGGGCUCAACCUGGGAAUUGCAGUGGAUACUGGGUCACUAGAGUGUGGUAGAGGAUAGUGGAAUUUCCGGUGUAGCAGUGAAAUGCGUAGAGAUCGGAAGGAACAUCUGUGGCGAAGGCGACUAUCUGGGCCAACACUGACACUGAGGCACGAAAGCGUGGGGAGCAAACAGGAUUAGAGACCCGCGUAGUCCCUGUCUCUUAUAC
RNAcentral lists this ribosomal RNA (301 nucleotides) under uncultured bacterium. RNAcentral describes it as "partial 16S ribosomal RNA". It matches the Rfam family "Bacterial small subunit ribosomal RNA", at positions 509 to 807 of the family's 1533-position model. The record is from RNAcentral.